GAGUUCGGAGGGCGAGCGAUCCCGGGGGCCUCUCGGGAGCUCCCCGGGGCCGCGCCGAGGGGACAGGUGAGCAAGGCAGUCCUCUCGGGGACCCAGACCGGAAAGGCGGCGCUCCUGGGAAUCAACAAGUCGUCCUGGACAGGUGACACACACCCCAGGGCAUUUCCUGGCUGCCAGUUCGGCCCCGCCCCGCUGCACAGCGGCUGGGCGGGGAGGCCACCGCUGGGACGUCGGCUGGCCGGCGCCACCCGGCCCUCUGGGAGUUGAGCGAGAGCAGAGAAAAGUUGAAAAGACCGACAAAAACUGUGGGAAGUUGGCUUUUAUCCACACUAGGGACGGUCCCAGGAACGAGGAACUAGUUUGUGAAUGGCUCAGAGAAAAGCAAACCGAUGUCCAGGGGUCUUGUGCAGGACCUGAAAGUAUUUUCUUCCAUUUGUGUGUGAUGAUUGUUCAGGAAUAUUUUGGUGACUGUAAUCAAUGAGAGACUGAAGACAGAUCAACAUACAUCUUACCCAUGCUCUUUCAAAGACUGUGCUGAGAGAGAACUUGUGGCAGUUAUAUGUCCUUACUGUGAGAAGAAUUUUUGCCUGAG
This 592-nucleotide small RNA is filed under the name Pan troglodytes (chimpanzee). RNAcentral describes it as "processed transcript". The record is from RNAcentral. Lineage: Eukaryota; Metazoa; Chordata; Mammalia; Primates; Hominidae.